GAUGAACGCUGGCGGCGUGCCUAAUACAUGCAAGUCGAGCGAACAGACGAGGAGCUUGCUCCUCUGACGUUAGCGGCGGACGGGUGAGUAACACGUGGAUAACCUACCUAUAAGACUGGGAUAACUUCGGCAAACCGGAGCUAAUACCGGAUAAUAUAUUGAACCGCAUGGUUCAAUAGUGAAAGACGGUUUUGCUGUCACUUAUAGAUGGAUCCGCGCCGCAUUAGCUAGUUGGUAAGGUAACGGCUUACCAAGGCAACGAUGCGUAGCCGACCUGAGAGGGUGAUCGGCCACACUGGAACUGAGACACGGUCCAGACUCCUACGGGAGGCAGCAGUAGGGAAUCUUCCGCAAUGGGCGAAAGCCUGACGGAGCAACGCCGCGUGAGUGAUGAAGGUCUUCGGAUCGUAAAACUCUGUUAUUAGGGAAGAACAAAUGUGUAAGUAACUAUGCACGUCUUGACGGUACCUAAUCAGAAAGCCACGGCUAACUACGUG
Molecule: ribosomal RNA, 497 nt
Filed under: uncultured bacterium
Lineage: Bacteria
Description: partial 16S ribosomal RNA
Rfam family: Bacterial small subunit ribosomal RNA
Source: RNAcentral